Molecule: long non-coding RNA, 416 nt
Filed under: Phoenix dactylifera (date palm)
Lineage: Eukaryota; Viridiplantae; Streptophyta; Magnoliopsida; Arecales; Arecaceae
Description: long non-coding RNA (PDAC_LNC013917)
Source: RNAcentral
ACCAACAAUUAUGAUACACAAUGACCUACGCCCGAUAAUACUAUCGUCCUAUUAAUAGUAUAUCAUACGGUCAUGAACAUUUAAGGACCUGUGUGACAAAAUCAUAUUUCAUUACACAAAGCAGUCCUAAGGACUUCAUCACAUCGGAGUUUGUGAAGAUGUUCUGGUGAUGAAUAAAUACCAUGUUAUUUAUAAUUGAUUCAAAUACAUUUACAAUCAACAAUUGAUUGGAUUUAGGACAUAAUUCCCAACAACUUCCACUUGACCUAAAGCCAAUCAGUACAGUAUCGUAUACCCAUCUUCAAGUAAUGAUGGUCAAACUCCUUUACACUGAGGGCCUUAGUGAAGGGGUCGUCUAAGUUAUCCUUCCCGUCAAUCUUUUGAAGAUCAACAUCACCUCGUUCUACUAUCUCACG